GGGGAAGUAUGAAGAUUAGCAAUGGCUCCUCAGGGGAGGAGUCACAAAUUGAGAACUGAAGGAUAAGUGGAAGUCUACUGAUGAAGCAAGGGGCAUCACCUAGGCAGAGGUACAGCAAGUACAAAGACCUGGGGAUGGGAAGCAGCCCAACACAUUCAAGGAACUUGAUGGGAAACUGUGGAUGGAAAAACAGUGGAAACAUAAGAGAAGGCAUGAAUGGAUUUUUCUUUAAAACAAAGGCCCUGACUGCAUGAUCAUGUUCCCUGCUCCUAAGUCGGUGGGAUGUCAGAGAAGGAGGAUCCCUGAAGCAGAAGAGACAACAAAG
Bos taurus (domestic cattle) is the source of this 325-nucleotide long non-coding RNA. The record is from Ensembl. NCBI's taxonomy places the organism in Eukaryota, Metazoa, Chordata, Mammalia, Artiodactyla, Bovidae.